This 442-nucleotide ribosomal RNA is filed under the name uncultured bacterium. Its description in RNAcentral is "partial 16S ribosomal RNA". It matches the Rfam family "Bacterial small subunit ribosomal RNA", at positions 338 to 795 of the family's 1533-position model. The record is from RNAcentral.
CCUACGGGGGUCAGCAGUGGGGAAUAUUGGGCAAUGGGCGCAAGCCUGACCCAGCAACGCCGCGUGAAGGAAGAAGGCUUUCGGGUUGUAAACUUCUUUUGUCAGGGAAGAGUAGAAGACGGUACCUGACGAAUAAGCCACGGCUAACUACGUGCCAGCAGCCGCGGUAAUACGGAGGUGGCACGCGUUGUCCGGAUUUACUGGGUGUAAAGGGCGUGUAGCCGGGUUGACAAGUCAGAUGUGAAAUCCUGCGGCUUAACCGCUGAACUGCAUUUGAAACUGUUGAUCUUGAGUACGGGAGAGGCAGACGGAAUUCCUAGUGUAGCGGUGAAAUGCGUAGAUAUUAGGAGGAACACCAGUGGCGAAGGCGGUCUGCUGGGCAGCAACUGACGGUGAGGCGCGAAAGCGUGGGGAGCAAACGGGAUUAGAUACCCGGGUAGUC